UAUUUAUAUGAGAGUUUGAUCCUGGCUCAGGAUGAACGCUGGCGGCGUGCCUAAUACAUGCAAGUCGAACGAGUUCUGAUUAUUGAAAGGUGCUUGCAUCUUGAUUUAA
RNAcentral lists this ribosomal RNA (109 nucleotides) under Lacticaseibacillus rhamnosus. RNAcentral's name for it is "Lactobacillus rhamnosus partial 16S ribosomal RNA". It matches the Rfam family "Bacterial small subunit ribosomal RNA", at positions 1 to 103 of the family's 1533-position model. The record is from RNAcentral. Lineage: Bacteria; Bacillati; Bacillota; Bacilli; Lactobacillales; Lactobacillaceae.